Non-coding RNA from Podarcis lilfordi (Lilford's wall lizard), 84 nucleotides. The record is from the annotation of a GenBank genome assembly. NCBI's taxonomy places the organism in Eukaryota, Metazoa, Chordata, Lepidosauria, Squamata, Lacertidae.
GUUUUGUAUAAGAUGGGUAGCUCACUUGGUUAGAGCGUGGUGCUGGUAAUGAGAAGGUUGCAGGUUCAAUCCCUGUAUAGGACA